Molecule: ribosomal RNA, 386 nt
Filed under: Macaca mulatta (Rhesus monkey)
Lineage: Eukaryota; Metazoa; Chordata; Mammalia; Primates; Cercopithecidae
Description: 12S ribosomal RNA
Rfam family: Bacterial small subunit ribosomal RNA
Source: RNAcentral
GCUUGGCCCUAAACCUCAGUAGUUAGAUAACAAAACUACUCGCCAGAAUACUACAAGCUAUAGCUUAAAACUCAAAGGACUUGACGGUGCUUUACACCCCCUAGAGGAGCCUGUUCCGUAAUCGAUAAACCCCGAUCCACCCCACCCUCUCUUGCUCAGCCUAUAUACCGCCAUCUUCAGCAAACCCUAAUGAGGGUCACAAAGUGAGCGCAAAUGCCAUUCCGCAAACACGUUAGGUCAAGGUGUAGCCUAUGAGACGGUAAAAAAUGGGCUACAUUUUCUACCUCAGAAAAUCCACGAAAACCCUUAUGAAAUUUAAGGGUCCAAGGAGGAUUUAGCAGUAAAUUAAGAAUAGAGUGCUUAAUUGUACCAGGCCAUAAAGCGCG